Molecule: transfer RNA, 73 nt
Filed under: Cordylochernes scorpioides
Lineage: Eukaryota; Metazoa; Arthropoda; Arachnida; Pseudoscorpiones; Chernetidae
Description: tRNA-Thr
Source: RNAcentral
GUCCAGGGAUGGGAAUCGAACCCACAGUGUUCCGCUUACCUGGCAGAUGCCGUGUCCACUAGGCUACCCUGGA